Molecule: ribosomal RNA, 257 nt
Filed under: uncultured bacterium
Lineage: Bacteria
Description: partial 16S ribosomal RNA
Rfam family: Bacterial small subunit ribosomal RNA
Source: RNAcentral
GAUGAACGCUGGCGGCGUGCUUAAGACAUGCAAGUCGAACGCAGAGUAGCAGCAAUGUUGCUCUGAGUGGCGAAUGGGUGCGUAACACGUAGGUGAUCUGCCCAGAAGUGUGGAAUAACAGUCCGAAAGGACUGCUAAUACCGCAUGUGGCGCGCGGGGCUAGAGGCCCGCACGCGAAAGGCCGGCAACGGUCGCUUCUGGAGGAGCCUGCGGCCCAUCAGGUAGUUGGUAGGGUAAUGGCCUACCAAGCCUACGAC